This 274-nucleotide ribosomal RNA is filed under the name uncultured Pseudomonas sp. RNAcentral describes it as "partial 16S ribosomal RNA". It matches the Rfam family "Bacterial small subunit ribosomal RNA", at positions 1107 to 1382 of the family's 1533-position model. Lineage: Bacteria; Pseudomonadati; Pseudomonadota; Gammaproteobacteria; Pseudomonadales; Pseudomonadaceae. The record is from RNAcentral.
GUCCUUAGUUUACCAGCACGUUAUGUGGGCACUCUAAGGAGACUGCCGGUGACAACCGGAGGAAGUGGGGAUGACGUCAAGUCAUCAUGGCCCUUACGGCCUGGGCUACACACGUGCUACAAUGGUCGGUACAAAGGGUUGCCAAGCCGCGAGGUGGAGCUAAUCCCAUAAAACCGAUCGUAGUCCGGAUCGCAGUCUGCAACUCGACUGCGUGAAGUCGGAAUCGCUAGUAAUCGUGAAUCAGAAUGUCACGGUGAAUACGUUCCCGGGCCUU